AUACGGAGGGUCCGAGCGUUAUCCGGAAUCAUUGGGUUUAAAGGGUCCGUAGGCGGGAAUCUAAGUCAGUGGUGAAAUCUUGCAGCUCAACUGUAAAAUUGCCAUUGAUACUGGAUUUCUCGAAUUAGUGUGAAGUGGUUAGAAUGUGUAGUGUAGCGGUGAAAUGCAUAGAUAUUACACAGAAUACCAAUUGCGAAGGCAGAUCACUAACACUAUAUUGACGCUAAGGGACGAAAGCGUGGGGAGCGAACAGGAUUAGAAACCCCAGUAGUCC
This 274-nucleotide ribosomal RNA is filed under the name uncultured bacterium. Its description in RNAcentral is "partial 16S ribosomal RNA". It matches the Rfam family "Bacterial small subunit ribosomal RNA", at positions 523 to 796 of the family's 1533-position model. The record is from RNAcentral.